GAUAAAGGUCAUACAUGAAUAAAUAUUUACACAGCCAUUAGCGUGCAAAAUAGAUUUAAACGAUUUCUUUAAAAUAAUCAACAAAGAGCUAAGUAGGUCUAACACAUUUGGGAGUCGGGACGUUUGUUUUGAAUAUUUUCAUUAUAUAAUGACGCGGCGGCGCGUUCGGCCGCCGACGCGGCACGCUUUCACUCCGUACGCUAUUAAUUACGUACCUACACGAUUGUUCAGUCAGUGUUAUAUUUACUCAACUGUUUCGACUGCUGAAAAGAUAAAGAAAUAGCUAAAGUGCCGCGCUACACGACGCCCGUAUCUUAUCGCAUCCAUUCUAUUGAUCACUCGUCAUAUAUCGCGAACGGUCGCCUUAUACGGACGACCGGACCACCUUUAUUGUCCAAUUUAACGUGCAGACGUGUACUCUUUUAUAGGCGCGAUGUUACCGGUGAAGUCAUAAUGUGUGUCGUACAAAAAUAGAAUUACAGUGUUUACAGGAAAAUAGUAUCAAUAACUGAGUGUUGCGGUUUGUAAUUGAACGAUAAUGGCGGCUAAAUCGCCUACAGUGAGCGUGAAGUCGCGGGAAAUGAUCGGCGUGGAGCAGUUCAGUCAGCGACGCGAGGUGUUUGACAAGCCGGACGCGAGUACGUGCCGCUGUCGCCCACGAGCCCCGUGCCCACGUACCGGGAGGUGGAGCCCAUCAUCACUCCAAUCACGGCAAAACUACCAGCAACUUCAAGCGCAACACACCUGGGUACUCCAGCAUGCGCGAGUCUAGGACCGACGAACGACAAUUCGAUUUUCGACCACGAAAAUACUCCGACAACUUCACGUCGGAACUUAACCAGAGCGACGAUGUCGACUACAGACACUCGAUGACCGAGAGGACCCGGCGCUUGUCCAAGAUGCGCCGGGACUUCAUGACAUCAAACCUGUACGAGCCGGGAAGCAGCCCUAUUCAGCGAGGAGGUACACGCUCUUCAAUGCCCACUAAUAGUACGUCUCCGAUGAAAUAUGAAAUCGAAAGUCCUAAUUUAUAUAAAUUUCCAUUUGCCGAACCGUAUUUGACGCCGACACCGGUAAGGAGAGUUAUAUUAAGCCUUGAUUCAGACAAAAAGAAAAUGAAGAACGAAGUACAAUACUUUACCGAACAAUCAUUCCCAUACAAAAAUAGACCAUCAAAAAUUAUAUGAAGAGUUGGUAAAAAGAUACUCGCCGCAACGCAAACCAAUCGAUUGGAAACUGCCGCCAACUAGACCAAAAGUGAUAGGUUCUGUCCCAAAAUCGAGUUCAAGCAUAGGCAGUGACGAAAAGAGGGAUGAAGAAAAACCUGAGGAUGAUGAUGUUUUGAAAAGAAACAUAACAAUACUGGGGAAGCUAAUAAAAAUGUUGAUUCCGAAAAUAAGGCUGAAGACGAAAAACCACAAAGUGAAAUUCUCCAAAACGGUCCAGGAUUACUAAGCGACGAAACCGCCAAAAAGGAAGAAAAUGAAAGUGACUCAAAACUUUCCCAACCUGAAUUGGAUGAGAAAAAUGACCGUGUUCCAGAACUUGGCACAAUCCAAAGACAACUGAGUAGAGAGUCGGCGAAAAAACCUCUCGUAGAAAUAAUAGAUUUAACCAUUCCAGAUUUAAUAGAGAAAAUGACAGCGGAAGGCGAAGACUUGGAGAAUCACAAGAAAACGCCGAAAAAAGUAAAAAGAAAGAGGAGUUUCUUAGAUAAACUAUUAGGAAGAAACAAGGAUAAAUAAUUAAUGUGUGUUACUCGAAAAUGGUGCACCGUCGCAAGUCUGCCAAAGAUUAAAUCAAGGUUCUUACGAUACAUGACGGCAAUGUUUGUAAUCUUUUGAUAACUACGAUAGGUAAGGAGUGCUCACUCUUUACCAAUGUAAAAUGAAUUAAUUUUAUGAUAGAUUAUUUAUAUGAAAAUAAUUAAAACCAGUCUUCCUAUGUUUUUUAUCUUAAUGCAUUGGUUGGGUUAUCGCUAGCUGAUAAAACGUUAGUGCCAUGUGACACUCCCUAUCUGCCAAAUUCUUAGUAAGCUUGGUAACAAAUAUCGUGGAAUUAAAGACUACACGGAAUACAAAUUCGUGAUUAGUGAUUUUUUUAUUCAGUCUUAACACAUUAAGCAUGUAUUUUUGUUUAAAAAUACUUAUUAGGCCUGUACACGGUUUUAAUUUAACUCGUUUCUAGGAAGUUAAUUAAUGGUCUAAUUUAUCAACUUGUUUGUAAUAUUAACUUUAAUUAAAUACCUUGUUUCCUGUAAGUAAAUAACUAAAGUUUUUAAAAUAGUUUUCCUUAUUGUUAACGAAUAUUAUGUAAAUAUGACUUGAACCUUAGUUGUAUCAUAAACCAAACAAUUUGCUUAUUAAAAUAUAUUUUACAAUAUAUGUAUA
RNA transcript from Manduca sexta (tobacco hornworm), 2390 nucleotides. RefSeq lists it as uncharacterized. The record is from RefSeq and is a predicted model, not a curated record. Lineage: Eukaryota; Metazoa; Arthropoda; Insecta; Lepidoptera; Sphingidae. The transcript has a single exon.